This 161-nucleotide ribosomal RNA is filed under the name Prosopidastrum angusticarpum. Its description in RNAcentral is "5.8S ribosomal RNA". It matches the Rfam family "5.8S ribosomal RNA". From Rfam's summary of the family: 5.8S ribosomal RNA (5.8S rRNA) is a component of the large subunit of the eukaryotic ribosome. It is transcribed by RNA polymerase I as part of the 45S precursor that also contains 18S and 28S rRNA. Functionally, it is thought that 5.8S rRNA may be involved in ribosome translocation. The record is from RNAcentral. Lineage: Eukaryota; Viridiplantae; Streptophyta; Magnoliopsida; Fabales; Fabaceae.
ACGACUCUCGGCAACGGAUAUCUCGGCUCUCGCAUCGAUGAAGAACGUAGCGAAAUGCGAUACUUGGUGUGAAUUGCAGAAUCCCGUGAACCAUCGAGUCUUUGAACGCAAGUUGCGCCCGAGGCCGCCAGGCCGAGGGCACGUCUGCCUGGGUGUCACGC